AUGGAGUCACACAGAGGGACCGGAGCCCAGUCAGUGACCCAGCCUGACGUCCACAUCACUGUCUCUGAGGGAGCCCCUCUGGAGCUGAGGUGCAGGUAUUCAUCUUCUCUUCCACCGUAUCUCUUCUGGUACGUGCAAUAUCCCAACCAAGGACUCCAGCUUCUCCUGAAGUACACAUCUGGAAACAGCCGUGUUUCAGUCAUCAAAGGUUUUGAAGCUGAAUUAAACAGGAGUGACACCUCCUUCCACCUGAGGAAAUCUUCAGGCCAUUGGAGCGACUCGGCCAAGUACUUCUGUGCUGUGAGUGACACAGUGCCUGCGACUGCAGGGGGAGCUGAACACAAACCUCCUGAGACGCUGUAG
Molecule: non-coding RNA, 363 nt
Organism: Equus quagga
Lineage: Eukaryota; Metazoa; Chordata; Mammalia; Perissodactyla; Equidae
Source: the annotation of a RefSeq genome assembly